This 323-nucleotide unclassified non-coding RNA is filed under the name Hevea brasiliensis (rubber tree). Lineage: Eukaryota; Viridiplantae; Streptophyta; Magnoliopsida; Malpighiales; Euphorbiaceae. The record is from RNAcentral.
GAGAAAACCCGUGUUAAUAAUGACAAGAAUUUUGAAAGGAUUUAUGUUCAAGGAGGUUUCAAUGCGAAGAAGCCAUUGGGGUUGGAAAAUGCUGAUUUAGAUGAACAUGCUGCAACUGGUCAACAUGAGAAAGUUGAGAGCGUGAAAGAGGGUGAGGAGUCACAGACGGUGAAGGAAGCAUGGAAGUUGUUGGAGAAUGCUGUUGUUAAAUAUUGUGGGAGCCCUAUAGGGACUCUUGCUGCUAAUGAUCCUAAUGAUAAAUUGCCAUUGAAUUAUGAUCAAGUAUUUAUUAGGGAUUUUAUUCCUUCCGCCCUCGCUUUUUU